Molecule: long non-coding RNA, 2342 nt
Filed under: Marmota monax (woodchuck)
Lineage: Eukaryota; Metazoa; Chordata; Mammalia; Rodentia; Sciuridae
Source: RNAcentral
GACAGGAGGACUGCAGGCUCAAGGCCAGCCUCAACAACUUAGCAAGACCCUAUCUCAAAAUGAAAAAUAAAAAGGGCUGGGGAUGUGACUCAGUGAUAAAGCACCCCUGGGUUCAAUCCCUAGAGGGAAAGACAGAGGGAGAGGGAGGGUGAGGGGAGAGAGAGAGAGAGAGAAUAUGGAUGACAGGGAAUGUUAUAAGAUGACACAGAGAUCUUUGGUCAUAUGUACAGCCACAUGUGCUAAUAGAGAAAGCAAAGGGAGAGGACAUGCUAGUUCUUUGAAAAGAUAUACAAGUUUGAUAAGCUCUUAGCCAAACUAAUAAAAAGAAAAAAAGCCCAAAUUAUUUAAAUUUGAGGUGAAAAAGGAGAAAUCACUACUGACAUCUCAGAAAUCCAGUAGAUCAUCAGGGACUAUUUGAAAACUUAGACUCCAAUAAAUCGGAAUACCUCAAAGAAAUGGAUAUAUCUGUAAACAAAUAAAAUCUACCAAAAAGGAAUCAAGAGGACACAGAAAACCUAACUUGGAAUGAGGUAGGAGCAAUAAUAAAAAGCCUUCCAACAACGAAAAGCCCAGGACCAGAUGGAUUCUCAGCUGAAUGCGACUAAAUCUUUAAAGAAGAACUAAUGGCAAUACUCCUCAAAUUAUUCCAUGAAAUAGAAAGGAGAGCAACACUUUCAGAUUCAUUCUAUGAAGCCAGGAUCACACAUAUCAAUACCAGAUAAAACACAUCAGAGAAAGAAAACUAUAGACCAACAGCCCUGAUAAACUUAGAUGCCAAAAAAUACUUAUUAAAAUAUUAGCAAAUCAUGUUAAGAUUAUUCACCAUGACCAAGUUAGUUUUAUUCCAGAGACGCAAGGAUGGUUUAACAUAUGCAAAUCAAUAUAAUCAUCAAAUAAACAGAAUUAAGACAAAAAUCACUUAGAUUUCAACAAAAUUUAGCACUUAUUCAUGAUAACACAAAAACAAUGAAGAUACUAGGGAUAGAGGAACCUACCUCAACAUCAUAAAGGUUACAUAAAAAUAAACAAAAACUCAAAGCCAACCUCAAAGUAAAUGGGGGAAAGUGAAAGCAUUUCUUUUAACAUCUAGGACAAAGAUGUCCACUCUCACCACUCUUACUUAACAUAUUGCUGGAAAUUCUAGCCAAAACAAUUAGGCAAGAGAAGGAAUUAAAAGGGAUAAAAAUAGGAAAAGAAGAAGUUACGUUAUCACUGUUUGUAGAUGAUAUGAUCCUAUGCAUAGAAGAUCAAAAAAACUCCACCAAAAGACUUCUAGAACUAAUAAACAGUGUGGGGACAACAGGUUAUCUAUAUCUAGAAGAAUGAAAUAGACCCUUAUCUUUCACUCUGCACAAAAAUCAAAUCAAAAUGGAUCAAAGAGCUCAGAAUUAGACCAGAAACUAUGCAACCCCUAGAAGAAAAGGAAGAGUCAAUUCUGCAGCUACAAAGAACAGGUAAAGACAAUAGCCCCCCCUAAAGCUCAGGAAGUAAUGCCAAGAGUUAAUCAAUGGAAUGGCUUCAAAUUAAAAAGCUUCUGCAUAGCCAAGGAAACAAUCAGGAAUGUGAAGACAGAGCCCACAGAACGGGGAAAAAUCUUUGCUAGCUGCUCUUCUGACAGAGGAUCAGUAGCUAGAAUAUAUAAAGAGCUCAAAAAACUUUACACCAAAAAAUCAAAUAACCCAAUUAAUAAAGGGUUCAAUGAAUUAAACAGACACUUCUCAAAAGAAGAAAUACAAAUGGUCCACAAAUACAUUUAAAAAAAGGUUCAACAUCAUUAGCAAUGAGGGAAACGCAAGUAAAACUACACUGAGACUCCAUCCCAAGCAUCAGAAUGGCAGCCAUCAAGAAUACAAAUACUAACAAAUGCUGGGCAGGAUGUGGAGAAAAGGACACGUUUACACUGUUGGUACAACUGUAAAUUAGCACAGCCACUAUGGAAAUGUGGUGAAGUCUCCUCAAAAGACUAGACAUGGGACCCCCAUGGGACCCAGCUCUGCCACUCCUUGGUAUCUACCCUGAAGAAUUAAAGGCACCUCACUCCAGAAAUCCCUGCACACCCAUGUUUACGAGCACAGUUCCCAAUAGGCAAACUCUGGAACCAGCCUAGGUGUCCAUCAGUGGAUGGCUGGAUAAAGAAAAUGUGCUAUAUAUACACAACGGAGUUUUAUUCACCCACAAAGAAAUAUGAAAUUACAGCAUUUUCAGAAAACUAGAGCCCAUUAUGUUAAGGGAAAUAAGUCAAACUCAGAAGGUUAAGGGCCUUCUGGUUUCUCUCAUGUGAGGAAGCUAGAGAGGAAAAAGGAAAAGAAAAGUUGGGGCGGAUCUGGUGAAAUCAAAGGGAG